AUGAAACAUGAUUCCAUUGUGUCUUCAAGGUUCUUGCAUAAGCUUUGGCAGAACAAGGUUGCAAGAGAUCGAAGAUUUACCGGUAGAAGAAUGUAUAGUGCGUCUUCGACAAUAACGAACAAAGAUAGAACACUGAAUAAUUCUUACUCCAGGUAUGAUUAUAAUCAGAUUCACUCUUCUUCUUCUACUCCAUUUCUGUGUUGUUGCGAUUUCGUGUGA
Non-coding RNA from Vicia faba (fava bean), 219 nucleotides. The record is from the annotation of a GenBank genome assembly. Lineage: Eukaryota; Viridiplantae; Streptophyta; Magnoliopsida; Fabales; Fabaceae.